Molecule: long non-coding RNA, 1768 nt
Filed under: Panax ginseng (ginseng)
Lineage: Eukaryota; Viridiplantae; Streptophyta; Magnoliopsida; Apiales; Araliaceae
Description: long non-coding RNA (PGIN_LNC011861)
Source: RNAcentral
UCCUCAAUUUAAUUCUGAUUACUAAUUACAUUUUGGCUAAAAAUUUACAGCAUGAUGUGGAUGUGGAUGCUGGUGUGCUGAAGAAAGUAAUUUUAGCUGAUGGGUGCCAUGGUAACUGUCAAGGGUGCUCAAUCAGUUAGCCUGCGUCACCCUAUUGAGCUGCCUCUUCCUUUAAACAGAACCCAAAAUGGUUUUGCUUCAGGUCUUCUAACUCUGGCUGAUUGCCUUUGUCAUGCUUCCCCACCCAAGGGGAACCACUUCUCUCCCUCCGCAUUGUUGGCCCUACAUCUCUUGUCUCCCCUACGUCAUCAUCAUCCUCUCCUAGCAACAGGCUCAAGCUUAAGCGCCGUGCUCCUGGCCUGGUGGAGCUAUCCUCAGCAUAAAAAAUGAAAGCCUAGAAACCGUCUCCAACUUCAAUUUGCGAGGAGAAGUCCAUACCCUUUUGACUCCAGAUAGUUUGGCAACCUUGUGGCCUCUCACAUCAGUAAAUGGGACAAACUCCAACUUGCUUGGUUUUGAAAAGAUGUUCUCCUCUGUGCUGGGUUCAAAAGCUAACAGACGUGUGUGAAGAUAGGUUUCGGGGUGGAGAAGAAGUUAAGUGACGGAGAUGGGGUUGAUUUGACCGAGUGGAGGACAAAACCCGAGACUGUGAAGAUGCACUUUGAGGUAUUGUAUUGGCUAAGAUUGAUGGUAACAAGGUUGUGCCUGAAAGAAUAACGCAGGUAGGUUAAUCCUGAGGAUUCUGUGGCACCGAUUAAUGUUCUCAUGGCCAUGGGGAACGUGACUAUGUCAAUUGCCAACAACCCCCGUUCAGCUUGUAAAUUGUUGGCAAAAAUAAAAAAUUUAUUUUCCCUUUUGUUUUUUCCUGAAAUCUUGAUAAUUGACAUAAAGAUAUCUAGCAAUGUAAUAUUAGUAAAAUGAAGUUGAGAAGGGUGGAGACGCUUGCUAGUUGCUAGUUAUUAAUUAUUAUGUUGUCAAAUAGACUUCAAACAAAGAAUUUAAGAGAAUUUACCCUUUUUUUUUUUAGAGCGGAUAGAGUUAAACAUAAUGAAAAGUAGGUGAAAACUUUGUAAAGAGGUUAAUAUGUAUUAGUUCCGUUUCAAAAUUAGAGAUAUAUUUUUAACAGUACAGGCGAUCACAAGGUUAACAAUGGAGGAAUAAAUAUCUAGUGACUUGAGAGUAAUAAUUAAUUAGUUACCUUUCACCGUGUGUCAUCCUUGUUUUAUAUCUCCAAAGUUCGAUUUGUCCUGUAUGCAACUGACUUUUUGGGCCCACAGCUUUUAGCCGACUAAGCCCUGUCCAAUCCUCAUUAAGUACAAUGUAGAGAUGACAGUCAAAGUUCUAUCCCCAAUCUACACCGGUCAAAGCCCAAGUGGAACCAUACUCAUCUAGUAAUUUGGCCCACUGUCACAGCCCAAUACUUCAUAGGCCCCAAAAUAAAGAUAAUAUUCACCCAAUGGGCUGGCCCAAUGAACCGGCCUAAUACUUUCAAGACCCACCUCAACAUGUCUAAAGUAUUAUGGCCCCAACAAUACGCUUCCACUCCCUUACUCUAUCCGAAAUAUAUUAUCCAUAAGGGUGUAAACGAGUCGAACCGGAGCGAACAAAGAGUUACUCGAAUUCGACUCGAAAAAAUAAAUUCGUACUCGAAUUCGGCUCGAAUUCGAAUUAUAUUUGAAAAAUUCUACUCAGAUUCGACUCGACUCGAAUAUUUAUUACUCGAAUUCGAUCCGACUCGACUCAAAUAUUUAUUCAAACUACUCGCGAG